AUUGAACGCUGGCGGCAUGCUUUACACAUGCAAGUCGAACGGUAACAGGCCGCAAGGUGCUGACGAGUGGCGAACGGGUGAGUAAUGCAUCGGAACGUGCCCAGUCGUGGGGGAUAACUACUCGAAAGAGUAGCUAAUACCGCAUACGAUCUAUGGAUGAAAGCGGGGGACCGUAAGGCCUCGCGCGAUUGGAGCGGCCGAUGUCAGAUUAGGUAGUUGGUAGGGUAAAGGCUCACCAAGCCAACGAUCUGUAGCUGGUCUGAGAGGACAACCAGCCACACUGGGACUGAGACACGGCCCAGACUCCUACGGGAGGCAGCAGUGGGGAAUUUUGGACAAUGGGCGCAAGCCUGAUCCAGCAAUGCCGCGUGCAGGAAGAAGGCCUUCGGGUUGUAAACUGCUUUUGUACGGAACGAAACGGCUCUGGUUAAUACCCGGGGCUAAUGACGGUACCGUAAGAAUAAGCACCGGCUAACUACGU
RNAcentral lists this ribosomal RNA (481 nucleotides) under uncultured bacterium. RNAcentral describes it as "partial 16S ribosomal RNA". It matches the Rfam family "Bacterial small subunit ribosomal RNA", at positions 30 to 506 of the family's 1533-position model. The record is from RNAcentral.